Molecule: unclassified non-coding RNA, 294 nt
Organism: Erinaceus europaeus (western European hedgehog)
Lineage: Eukaryota; Metazoa; Chordata; Mammalia; Eulipotyphla; Erinaceidae
Gene: 7SK
Rfam family: 7SK RNA
About the family: 7SK was discovered as an abundant small nuclear RNA in the mid-70s but a possible function has only recently been suggested.
Source: Ensembl
GGAUGUGAGGGUGAUCUGGCUGCAACAAUGUCACCCCAUGGAUCACCAGGGUUGAUUCGACUGAUGGCUAGGUGGGUGUUCCCUUCCUCCCUCACCGCUCCAUGUUUGUCCUUCCCAAGCUGUGCACUCAGUGAGGACAGCCUUCCCAGAAUAGAGACAGACCUGGUGUUUGGUCUUCGGUAUAUGAGUAGCUGUGCUCCCCUACUAGAGCCUCCAAACAAGCUCCCAGAAUACAUGGUGGAACUGUUAUAUAGUGAAGAACAUUUUUUUUUUUGCUAGAAAGGAAAUUUUUUU